GGGCAAGCGUUGUUCGGAAUUACUGGGCGUAAAGGGCUCGUAGGCGGCCAACUAAGUCAGACGUGAAAUCCCUCGGCUUAACCGGGGAACUGCGUCUGAUACUGGAUGGCUUGAAUCCGGGAGAGGGAUGCGGAAUUCCAGGUGUAGCGGUGAAAUGCGUAGAUAUCUGGAGGAACACCGGUGGCGAAGGCGGCAUCCUGGACCGGCAUUGACGCUGAGGAGCGAAAGCCAGGGGAGCAAACGGG
RNAcentral lists this ribosomal RNA (245 nucleotides) under uncultured bacterium. Its description in RNAcentral is "partial 16S ribosomal RNA". It matches the Rfam family "Bacterial small subunit ribosomal RNA", at positions 532 to 776 of the family's 1533-position model. The record is from RNAcentral.